CGGCGUGCUUACACAUGCAAGUCGAGUGCGCGGUUGUACCAAUACAACUGGCGCACGGCGCACGGGUGCGUAACACGUGGGUAACCUGCCCUUUACUGGGGAAUAACCCCGGGAAACCGGGGCUAAUACCGCAUAAGAUCCGCAAGGAUGAAAGCCGUAAGGCGCCGAUGGAGGGGCCCGCGCACGAUUAUCUACUUGGUAGGGUAACGGCCUACCAAGGCUAUGAUCGUUA
RNAcentral lists this ribosomal RNA (232 nucleotides) under uncultured bacterium. Its description in RNAcentral is "partial 16S ribosomal RNA". It matches the Rfam family "Bacterial small subunit ribosomal RNA", at positions 40 to 285 of the family's 1533-position model. The record is from RNAcentral.